UCAGCCGGUACUCGCGAAUGCCUCUAGAUUNAAGUUUGAUCAUGGCUCAGGCACCGAACGCUUACGGCGUGCCUAAUACAUGCAAGUCGAGCGAACAGAGAAGGAGCUUGCUCCUUUGACGUUAGCGGCGGACGGGUGAGUAACACGUGGGCAACCUACCUUAUAGUUUGGGAUAACUCCGGGAAACCGGGGCUAAUACCGAAUAAUCUAUUUUACUUCAUGGUGAAAUACUAAAAGACGGUUUCGGCUGUCGCUAUAAGAUGGGCCCGCGGCGCAUUAGCUAGUUGGUGAGGUAACGGCUCACCAAGGCGACGAUGCGUAGCCGACCUGAGAGGGUGAUCGGCCACACUGGGACUAGAUGACUGCGGCCCAGACUACCUACGGGAGGCAGCAGUAGUGGAAUCUUCCACAAUGGGCGAAAGCCUGAUNGGAGCAACGCCGCGUGAGUGAAGAAGGUUUUCGGAUCGUACAAACUCUGUUGUAAGGGAAGAACAAGUACAGUAGUAACUGGACUGUACCUUGACGGUACCUUAUUAGAAAGCCACGGCUAACUACGUGCCAGACAGCCGCNGUAAUACGUAANGUNGGCAAGCGUUGUCCGGAAUUAUGGGCGUAAAGCGCGCAGCAA
Molecule: ribosomal RNA, 628 nt
Filed under: uncultured bacterium
Lineage: Bacteria
Description: bacterial SSU rRNA
Rfam family: Bacterial small subunit ribosomal RNA
Source: RNAcentral